UACGGAGGGUGCGAGCGUUAUCCGGAAUUACUGGGUUUAAAGGGUGCGUAGGCGGCUUUGUAAGUCAGGAGUGAAAGUUUGCGGUUCAACCGUAAAAUUGCUUUUGAUACUGCAGAGCUAGAAUCAGGAUGAGGUUAGCGGAAUGUGGCAUGUAGCGGUGAAAUGCAUAGAUAUGCCAUAGAACACCAAUUGCGAAGGCAGCUGGCUAGACCUGCAAUGACGCUGAGACACGAAAGAGUGGGGAGCGAACAGC
Molecule: ribosomal RNA, 253 nt
Filed under: uncultured bacterium
Lineage: Bacteria
Description: partial 16S ribosomal RNA
Rfam family: Bacterial small subunit ribosomal RNA
Source: RNAcentral